This 93-nucleotide transfer RNA is filed under the name Salmonella enterica subsp. enterica serovar Typhimurium. RNAcentral's name for it is "tRNA-Ser". It matches the Rfam family "tRNA". From Rfam's summary of the family: Transfer RNA (tRNA) molecules are approximately 80 nucleotides in length. Their secondary structure includes four short double-helical elements and three loops (D, anti-codon, and T loops). Lineage: Bacteria; Pseudomonadati; Pseudomonadota; Gammaproteobacteria; Enterobacterales; Enterobacteriaceae. RNAcentral also lists the same sequence under 1 other name. The record is from RNAcentral.
GGUGAGGUGGCCGAGAGGCUGAAGGCGCUCCACUGCUAAGGGAGUAUGCGGUCAAAAGCUGCAUCCGGGGUUCGAAUCCCCGCCUCACCGCCA